GACGAACGCUGGCGGCGUGCCUAAUACAUGCAAGUAGAACGCACAGUUUAUACCGUAGCUUGCUACACCAUAGACUGUGAGUUGCGAACGGGUGAGUAACGCGUAGGUAACCUGCCUGGUAGCGGGGGAUAACUAUUGGAAACGAUAGCUAAUACCGCAUAAUAUUGAUUAUUGCAUGAUAAUUGAUUGAAAGAUGCUAUUGCAUCACUACCAGAUGGACCUGCGUUGUACUAGCUAGUAGGUGAGGUAACGGCUCACCUAGGCGACGAUACAUAGCCGACCUGAGAGGGGGAUCGGCCACACUGGGACUGAGACACGGCCCAGACUCCUACGGGAGGCAGCAGUAGGGAAUCUUCGGCAAUGGACGAAAGUCUGACCGAGCAACGCCGCGUGAGUGAAGAAGGUUUUCGGAUCGUAAAGCUCUGUUGUAAGAGAAGAACGGGUGUGAGAGUGGAAAGGUCACACUGUGACGGUAUCUUACCAGAAAGGGACGGCUAACUACG
This 503-nucleotide ribosomal RNA is filed under the name uncultured bacterium. Its description in RNAcentral is "partial 16S ribosomal RNA". It matches the Rfam family "Bacterial small subunit ribosomal RNA", at positions 28 to 505 of the family's 1533-position model. The record is from RNAcentral.